Molecule: ribosomal RNA, 522 nt
Filed under: bacterium E-1-48-4A
Lineage: Bacteria
Description: bacterial SSU rRNA
Rfam family: Bacterial small subunit ribosomal RNA
Source: RNAcentral
AUGGGCGAAAGCCUGAUCCAGCCAUGCCGCGUGUGUGAAGAAGGUCUUCGGAUUGUAAAGCACUUUAAGUUGGGAGGAAGGGUUGUAGAUUAAUACUCUGCAAUUUUGACGUUACCGACAGAAUAAGCACCGGCUAACUCUGUGCCAGCAGCCGCGGUAAUACAGAGGGUGCAAGCGUUAAUCGGAAUUACUGGGCGUAAAGCGCGCGUAGGUGGUUUGUUAAGUUGGAUGUGAAAUCCCCCGGGCUCAACCUGGGAACUGCAUUCAAAACUGACUGACUAGAGUAUGGUAGAGGGUGGUGGAAUUUCCUGUGUAGCGGUGAAAUGCGUAGAUAUAGGAAGGAACACCAGUGGCGAAGGCGACCACCUGGACUAGAUACUGACACUGANGUGCGANAGCGUGGGGAGCAAACAGGAUUAGAUACCCUGGUAGUCCACGCCGUAAACGAUGUCAACUAGCCGUUGGAAGCCUUGAGCUGUUAGUGGCGCAGCUAACGCAUNANGUUGACCGCCUGGGGAGUAC